Pyrus x bretschneideri (Chinese white pear) is the source of this 197-nucleotide long non-coding RNA. RefSeq lists it as uncharacterized. NCBI's taxonomy places the organism in Eukaryota, Viridiplantae, Streptophyta, Magnoliopsida, Rosales, Rosaceae. The transcript has 3 exons. The record is from RefSeq and is a predicted model, not a curated record.
UCUUGAUCUGAACCAAAAAUUUAAAAUUGAGAAGAAGGUAAAAUUGAAAUGGGACGAACUUUCCAGGCGCUCCAUCAAGAAAAUGGCCAAGAUGACACGGUGUAAACUUUUCCUUAACGUAAGUGUUAUUGUCCCUUUAUCAUUUAAUGCUUAUGUUUUCCAUUUCUUUCUCUGGUCUUCCCACCACCUGGUGGAGG